UCCCGGCUAGCUCAGUCGGUAGAGCGUCAGACUCUUAUCACAAGAGCCUCCAAGGUUGACCUUGGGAACAUCUGAAUGUCGAGGGUUCGAGCCCCUCGUUGGGAG
Molecule: non-coding RNA, 105 nt
Organism: Violaceomyces palustris
Lineage: Eukaryota; Fungi; Basidiomycota; Ustilaginomycetes; Violaceomycetales; Violaceomycetaceae
Source: the annotation of a GenBank genome assembly